This 419-nucleotide unclassified non-coding RNA is filed under the name Hevea brasiliensis (rubber tree). The record is from RNAcentral. Lineage: Eukaryota; Viridiplantae; Streptophyta; Magnoliopsida; Malpighiales; Euphorbiaceae.
AAUAAUUUUAACAAAAAUUGAGGGGUAUGUGCCAUUCCUGAUGUGUUGUCCAUGUGGCACGCUGGCGGGUAAAAAAAUGAGGCAGAAAAUCUCUUGGUAGGCCCCAAAUAGCAGUGUUUUGGACUUAUUCUCCUUUCCAAGCUACUAGAACAAGUGGUGACCCAAUUGGUCUAGCUUGGAGCUCUGAGAGAAAUCUGCCUCACACACACCCAUCAAAUCUAUCAUGCUCCUUUAUCACUGUGAUAUCUGAUUCUUUAGCCUAUUCCUUUCACUCUGAUCUCCCAAUCUUGAGGUUUCUCAUGUUUGAUGAUCUGGGUAUCGAGACAUAAAUUCCUCUGAUGGGACAGUUUUAGACUUAGUAUUUGUUGCCUGUGAAAUCUUAUCAAACGACAUUGUUGACUCCUACUUUUUGGGCACUG